Molecule: ribosomal RNA, 253 nt
Filed under: uncultured bacterium
Lineage: Bacteria
Description: partial 16S ribosomal RNA
Rfam family: Bacterial small subunit ribosomal RNA
Source: RNAcentral
UACGGAGGGUGCGAGCGUUGUCCGGAAUCACUGGGCGUAAAGGGCGCGUAGGCGGCCUGAUAAGUAGGGGGUGAAAUCCUGCGGCUUAACCGCAGGGCUGCCUUCUAAACUGUCAGGCUGGAGCACAGUAGAGGCAGGUGGAAUUCCCGGUGUAGCGGUGGAAUGCGUAGAUAUCGGGAGGAACACCGGUGGCGAAGGCGGUUCUCUGGGCCUUACCUGACGCUGAGGAGCGAAAGCGUGGGGAGCGAACAGG